RNAcentral lists this ribosomal RNA (498 nucleotides) under uncultured bacterium. Its description in RNAcentral is "partial 16S ribosomal RNA". It matches the Rfam family "Bacterial small subunit ribosomal RNA", at positions 30 to 523 of the family's 1533-position model. The record is from RNAcentral.
AUUGAACGCUGGCGGCAUGCCUUACACAUGCAAGUCGAACGGUAACAGGUCUUCGGAUGCUGACGAGUGGCGAACGGGUGAGUAAUACAUCGGAACGUGCCUAGUAGUGGGGGAUAACUACUCGAAAGAGUGGCUAAUACCGCAUGAGAUCUACGGAUGAAAGCAGGGGAUCGCAAGACCUUGUGCUACUAGAGCGGCCGAUGGCAGAUGAGGUAGUUGGUGGGAUAAAAGCUUACCAAGCCGACGAUCUGUAGCUGGUCUGAGAGGACGAUCAGCCACACUGGGACUGAGACACGGCCCAAACUCCUACGGGAGGCAGCAGUGGGGAAUUUUGGACAAUGGGCGAAAGCCUGAUUCAGCAAUGCCGCGUGCAGGAUGAAGGCCUUCGGGUUGUAAACUGCUUUUGUACGGAACGAAAAGCCCUGGGUUAAUACCCUGGGGUCAUGACGGUACCGUAAGAAUAAGCACCGGCUAACUACGUGCCAGCAGCCGCCGUAA